AUAUUAUAGGGUAAUUAAGACACUGCACUUUAGAGGUAAACUACCAGGUUUUUGAAUCAAAGUCUCACUACUAGGUAUAGUUAUUAUUGUCAUUAAUAUUAGAAUAAUACUUAAUGUCCACAGUCAAUCUAGAUAGUUUCAUGCAUCGCAGUUUCUUCAUCUAUAAAGAUAAUUGGAGUAACUAUUUCAUGAUCUCUUAGCAUGAAUUAAAUGAGUUAUUGCAAAGAUAAUGCAAGUAGAGCAACAAGUACACUACAUACAAAGAGUAAUCGAUGUAAGUUAUUAUCUUUAAUUAUAAAGUAGAACUUAGACAAUACUUAAAAGGCAAAACAAAGAAAAAUCACUCCGUGCCUACCAUCCACACAUAGUCUUUUGAAGGCUAUAGAAUGCUUCCUUUCAAGACACUUUUAGGAAGUUUCUCUUAAGAGCAUAUUCUAGCAGGGUUGUAAUCACAGUCAUAUAUACAGUUUACCACCAAUUUUACAAUUUCUGUUGCUACCUGAGCAUAUUUAAUGUUCUCACAUAGGCUUCAAAAACCUCCUUAUCCACUACAAAAUAUUAAACAGUUUUACUGUUUGUGGAGCUGGGUUUUUAGACCAAUUUUAACAUUUCAUUUCAAUAUAUAAUGUGGCUAAAGAGCUUUGUACAGCAAGUGGUUUCCAUAUUUAGGAUGGAGUAUUUCUUUGAUCCCGUAUUAACUUGUGGUAAUUGAUCUAAGACCCCUGUUUGUAUAUUCUUUACAUUCUUUCCAGUUCUCUUUCGGUUCCACUUAGUGGCUAAUAAAAUCUUUUGCAGUAGUCUAGCCUGACUUAGGUAUGGCAAGGAAGAAUGGGGGAGGGAGUGUUCCUUCUUGGGAAAGACAUUUUAUCUCCCCUUUCACAGACUUUUGGCUUCUGGUUUUUUCCACCAUGAAGGAUGCUCUGCAAAAUUAUUUUCAGUGCUUUUAAGCCAACUGUGGGUCAUUGUUAUUUGCAAAGGAGGAGUACCAUUCGUGUCUUUAUUUUGGUAGCCAUGCCUUAAAGAUAUUAACCUCACGUUUGAGUCCUACUUUUUAAGUUAAGUAUAAAAGUUGACGUUUAUGUAUGUUUAAUCUUAUUUUUGGCUUGUAAUUCUUUGGGAUUUAAAAAAUACAUAAUUCUGUUUUUCAGCACACUAUCUGUUGUCCUAGUGUGUUACAUUUGCAAAUUCGAUGAGGAUAUUUUCUGUAUUCCCAACCAUAUUUCGAAUUAGUGUAUUAUACUGAUUACAUUGAAGUAUAAACUGUGAAGGGAACCUCCUAGGGGACCCCCCCAUUGUCCUUAUUCCAGACUGUUGGCCACUAUUCAACAGUUAUCAACCUUGUGGUAAAGAUUUUAUGGGAAACCUUAUUGGAUAUCUUACUAAAAUAAAAAUAUAACAAUGUCGUGUCCAAGAUGUACCAGUUAUAUCUCCAAAGCAGAUAUGGCAUUAGAUUGAUUUGAUUUCAAUUAAUGAAACUAAAAUGGUUUUUAGGAUCUGAAAUUCCCUCUUCUAAGUAUUCACAAGCCCAUUAUUAUUAUUAUUUAUUGCUUUCUUAUUAUGCCUUACCUCAGUCCAAAAUUGAUUUGUGGUGAAUUUUAAAAGAUAUUGCUUCGUAUAUGUUCUAGGAAUGUUGCCAGUAAUUUGAUUCACACUGUUUAAUCUGGACAGACCUCAUAAAAGGAAAUGAGUCUUGAGCUAUGCUUUGAGGAGGAAAAGACACAUAGUUCUCUAAGCUUAGUCAGAAAAUAUAUUUCAGGAAGGGUGAACAAAAUGGGUUCAGUGGAGUCCAGGCAUGUGAGUAAGUAAGUUAUUUUCAAAGGAUAACCCUUUCCCUCGCUGUAGUAUUUUAAGUAACUGCUGCAUAUCCUUUAUUCUUUAGUAUUGAUCAAAAAUUUUAAUAGUAGUAAAAAUGCCAGAAAAGUUUCAUUAUAAUUAUAUACUUUAGACAACCUCAAAAGUAAAGAGUGGGACUUACCUGGGGGUCCAGUGGCUAAGACUUUGCCUUCCAAUGCAGGGGGUACAGGUUCGAUCCCUGGUCAGGGAGCUAAGAUCCCCCAUGCCUCAUGGCUAAAAAACCAAAACAUAAAAAUAAAAACAGAAGCAAUAUUGUAACAAACUCAAUAAAGAAUUAAAAAAUGGUCCACAUCAAAAAAAAUGUAAAUAAAAACUUUAAAAUUUGAAAGUGUUUAUCUCAUUUUUCAGAUGAAGAAACUGAGGUCUAGGUAGGUUAAGUUAUUUGAUGGGAGUCACACCAGUGGUAUAGACUAGAAACAGAAUGGAAACCUACUUCUGGCUCUCUUCAGAUUUCUACAAUGCUCCACUUACUACUACAAAACAAUAUGCAAGUAUUUGUCUUCUGAAAUGAGAUGAUGAAAAAAAUGUCUUAUAGGCAUGUAUCUAUGUGUUUUUAUUUACUCAUUUAUUUAUUUUGGAUUUAGGUGUCAUUAGGUCUUUCUGUACCCAAGGUUUUGUUUAAUGAAAGGUUUAGCAAAGUAGGUUAAGCAUUCCUAGGAGAUUAUCAAUCUGAUUAGCACUUAGAGAAAGGACAACAGAACAAAAACACAUUUUUAAUUACUUUAUUUUUAUCUUUCGGAUACCAUGUAAAAUUUUUAGGAUUACUUUAAUCUUAGAUUUUGGGAGGUUGUUUGCUCCAUUUUCAAUUAAGGUCACAAAUGAUACUUUAGCUUUUUGUUGCUGCUGCCGCUCAGUUUUGGGCAGAGAGUAGGUGUUGAUUUAUAGUCCUGCUUUAUGUGUGAGUGUGCGUGUGUCUGUGUGAAGGUGUGUGUAAUAAAAAUUGUAGUGGCUUGCUCCAAGUUGAAAAAAAAUAUUAAAAGCAGACCCUCUUGCCUGUUACAUAUCAAUUUUUUUUUUUUUUACAAAUACAGGUGUUUACUAAUCACGUGCAAUUUGAAUAGGAUUGAGUAUAAAGGAGGGAGAAUGUCAAUAUUUUUCAAUAGACAUUUUUGCAGCUCUAGCCCUUUAGUAGUUUUAUAUGAAAGAGACUCUUAUCAAGGAAUAAAAAUUUAGAAGUGGAAGAAGAAUUAUGAAAUCUUGUCCUGGUUAGGAAUGGCGUUUUCUAAUAACUUAACUUUAACCUUAGAAUAUGAUGUAACUUACUAACUUAAAGUGUGUCAUAAAACUCAGAUGAAUCUUACCUUCUUCAAAGAACUGACACAAUUUUAUUUUCCUUUUGUUCAGAUAUAUAUUUCGCAAGAUCACUGUGACCCUCUUGUUGGUUUUGAGAUUUCCAUCAGAAGGUGAUACAUUUUUAUUGACUGUGAUGAAAACUGUGCCCUGGAGUUGUGCAGUGUAUAACCUGUUAAACUGUACACAGCUCUGCAGUGUAUGUGCAUGUGUUAAAAAAAUAUAUUUAAGUAUUCUGAUUUCACUUGACAAUUAAAGCAUGUCUCUACUACUGGGAGACUAGGAGAUCCAGAAAUAAAGACUUGCCAGUUGUUAAGAGAAUUGGGCUUAAUUUAGCAUAAUGUAAAUAUUUUUUCUUUUACUUCUACCAUUUUGAAUACCUAUUCCUAGGACUAAUGUAGAAAUCUGUGAUGUUCUCAUAUGUCCAUAGUAAUUUUAUUUCCUGAAACAUUAUGAGUAACGUUGAUUUGUGGAUAACAUUAUACACAACAUAAUUUUUCCUUCUUGGAGACUGUUCGUCUCUCUUCAAGAGAGGAUCAGCUGGUUUAAAAAAGAGAGAAAUCAUAGUCAUUCUGCCAACUGGCUUUUAAAACUAGCCUAAAGAAGUGACUGAAAAUGUGAUGGAAACUGAGAUGUAUUGAGAGGACAGCAAACUCUAUCAUGAUGACCCGAAGCAGUGGAUCUCUUACGAGAAAUAAAAAUAAAUGAGGUUUUUAACAUAGGUGCUUUCAUCUAAGAUGUUUAAGUGAAGUACUGGAAGACAGUUAACUUCUUAGGAUGACUUAAUAUGAGCCAUUGUCAAUAACGGGAGCAACAUUAGCACCAACCAGAAGAGCUCUAACAUGAUUUGCAAGUGAUACGUUGUACUAUGGAUGUGAGAAAGCACAAGGCAGGAAACCGAUGUUGCCUGAAAUUAUGUAAUCCCACAGACCUUGGUUUUCUUAUAUAUAAAAUAAGGGAGUAAACUAGACCAAACUGGGGGUCUGCCAGCCUUAUUACAUGAAUUUUUCCCCUUAAGCCAAUAAUUUAUUGUCUUUCUUGAAGUUGAAAAAUACAUUUUGUAUUUUAAGACCUAUUCGCACAAUACCCUGAAGAGGGUUUCUGACUUUUAAGAAGCUCUGUAUCCUAGUAAGCAACAAGUCUUUAGUAAGCCAUAGCUGGGAUGUUGGCAACAUCCAUAUUCAGAAAAAUCUGUCCACCUAGUAGAACGUGGUUCCCUCCCUACCUAGGAGAAGACUGGCCUUGUGGUAAGAUUUAGAUGAAGACUUCACUACUGAGUCCAGAGGAAAUCUAAGUUCCAUUUCCAAGCUGCUUCUAUUAUUCAUCUCAUAAGUCUAUUAGAAAGAAUGUUGUCUCUUCCUUGGGGUCAUUCCUCCAAUGGAUUAGGAGACAUAUUCUGGUCUCACUAGAAUUCUUAAAAGAAGUCCCUUUUGAAAAAGGUAUGUGUCUUAACUGCUAUCACCCCUCUGAGAAGAGGUAAUUUCAAAUGAUUCCUGGGAAGCUCAGAGGCUCCUCUGCUGAUCUCUACUGCUGCCACUGUAGUGAGUUGCUAUUAUUCCUGUGAUGAGGUUGCCAUCUCUGGGGCUGCCAUAACAAAACACCACAAACUGGAUGGCUUAAACCAAGAGAAAUUUAUCGUUUCACAGUUCGAGAGGCUACAAUCUAAAAGGUGUUGGCAGGGCUAUUUCCUCCAAGACCUUUAGGAGAGCAUCCUUUCUUCUAGCUUCUGGGAGCCCCAGACAUUCCUUGGUUUAUGGCAGAAUAAGGCCAGUCUCUGACUUUAUGUUCAUAUGGCUGUCUUCCUUCUGUGUCUUGUGUCUUCACAUGAUCCCAUCUGUGUCUCUGUCCAAAUUUCCCUCUUCUUACAAGGGCACCAGUAUAUUGGAUUAUGGCCUACCCUAAUGACCUCAUCUUCACUUCAGUACAUUUAAGAAGAUCCUAUUUCUAAAAAAGGUUACAUUCACAGGUACAGGGCGUUAAGAUUCCAACAUAUCUUUCUGAGAGACAAAAUUCAACCCAUAAGAGCAUCCAUGAGUUUCUUCACUGCCAUUGUCACUAGUACAUAUUUCAGCCCCAUCUAGAGUCAUUAUGGAAGGAGGAAGGCAGUUUGUUUGUUUGUUUUUUGCGGUACGCGGGCCUCACUGUUGUGGCCUCUCCCGUUGCGGAGCACAGAAUCCGGACACGCAGGCUCAGCGGCCAUGGCUCACGGGCCCAGCUGCUCCGCGGCAUGUGGGAUCUUCCCGGACCGGGGCACGAACCCGUGUCCCCUGCAUCAGCAGGCGGACUCUCAACCACUGUGCCACCAGGGAAGCCCAGAAAGGCAGUUUUAUACUCAGCUUGGGCAAUGCAUGCCAAUUAAAGAGCAGAACAUUAGAAACCCAGACUUAACUCACUUAGCCUUUGUUCCAAAAACAACCUGCCCCUAGAGAGGCUGAGGGAGGAGAGCUCCCUGCGUCUCCAGCAUCCCAAACCCAGAUGCCCUGUUCCCUCUCAAUAGCUCAUCUCUUUCUACCAUUACAUAAUUUAGUUUAGUUUAAAACAAUUUCUCAAUUUUGGCUGAAAAUUAGCAUUUUUUCUUUCAAACAGCUCUUGUUUUUAGUGCCAUGCUGGCCUUCACAGCAGGUGAGUCUGGAUCCAGCUGACGUGCUGCUUCUGCUGGGUUUCUGUAAACCAUGGAGAUCAGGGUUUCUAAAUACUAUCUCCAUAUUUGCUCAAACUCAGACUUUCUUUACAGGCUUGAAGAGAUUGGGCAAGUCCUCCUCAGAGUAUUCCCCGACAGGUCUCUCCAUUCUGAUGUCUGAUUAUUUUACGCACUUUUCUCUUAUGCCGCCUGCAUUUCAUUGCUACACUCUUUCCUCUGAAUAGUCCAUUCCAACUCAUAUUCAUUUCUUUAAAAACUCCUAGCAUAGAAAAUGACUUAAUGUUUCGGAGGUCAAGCCCUUUCUACCUACCCAGGUAUAUGGCUGGAGUAGGAUUAGCUGUACGGUGAGACUUCAGCACUCAAAUAGGUAUUGGGGGAAAGUAGCUAUUUCAGUUGUGGUAAUUGAGCUGUU
Molecule: long non-coding RNA, 6197 nt
Organism: Phocoena sinus (vaquita)
Lineage: Eukaryota; Metazoa; Chordata; Mammalia; Artiodactyla; Phocoenidae
Source: Ensembl